Molecule: RNase P RNA, 405 nt
Filed under: Bombella pluederhausensis
Lineage: Bacteria; Pseudomonadati; Pseudomonadota; Alphaproteobacteria; Acetobacterales; Acetobacteraceae
Description: RNase P RNA component class A
Rfam family: Bacterial RNase P class A
About the family: Ribonuclease P (RNase P) is a ubiquitous endoribonuclease, found in archaea, bacteria and eukarya as well as chloroplasts and mitochondria. Its best characterised activity is the generation of mature 5'-ends of tRNAs by cleaving the 5'-leader elements of precursor-tRNAs.
Source: RNAcentral
CCAGAUGGUCGGGCGAUCGCUGUGGUCCUUACGGAACAUGGAGGAAAGUCCGGGCUCCACAGGAAGACGGUGCCGGCUAACGGCCGGCGGGGGCGACCCUAGGGACAGUGCCACAGAAACAAUACCGUCCGCCUGUUUUCUCCUUUCUUGGGAGAUGAUGCGGAUAAGGGUGAAACGGUGCGGUAAGAGCGCACCGCGCGGCUGGCAACAGCGGCGGUCAUGGUAAACCCCACCGGGAGCAAGACCGAAUAGGAAUGACAAGCCAGAUUAUGGCUGAGGGGUCCUGCCCUGUCAUUCGGGUUGGUUGCGUGAGGUGUGUUGCAAGACACAUCCCAGAGGAAUGAUCGCCCCGUCCCUUGCUAUCAUGGGACAGGACAGAACCCGGCUUAUAGACCAUCUGGCCCC